CGAGUGGCGAACGGGUGAGUAACGCGUGGGUAACCUGCCUCAUACAGGGGGAUAACAGUUGGAAACGGCUGCUAAUACCGCAUAAGCGCACAGUACCGCAUGGUACGGUGUGAAAAACUCCGGUGGUAUGAGAUGGACCCGCGUCUGAUUAGGUAGUUGGUGGGGUAACGGCCUACCAAGCCGACGAUCAGUAGCCGACCUGAGAGGGUGACCGGCCACAUUGGGACUGAGACACGGCCCAA
Molecule: ribosomal RNA, 242 nt
Filed under: uncultured bacterium
Lineage: Bacteria
Description: partial 16S ribosomal RNA
Rfam family: Bacterial small subunit ribosomal RNA
Source: RNAcentral